GAUGAACGCUGGCGGCGUGCCUAAUACAUGCAAGUCGAGCGAACGGACGAGAGGCUUGCUUCUCUGAUGUUAGCGGCGGACGGGUGAGUAACACGUGGAUAACCUACCUAUAAGACUGGGAUAACUUCGGGAAGCCGGAGCUAAUACCGGAUAAUAUUUUGAACCGCAUGGUUCAAAAGUGAAAGACGGUCUUGCUGUCACUUAUAGAUGGAUCCGCGCUGCAUUAGCUAGUUGGUAAGGUAACGGCUUACCAAGGCAACGAUGCAUAGCCGACCUGAGAGGGUGAUCGGCCACACUGGAACUGAGACACGGUCCAGACUCCUACGGGAGGCAGCAGUAGGGAAUCUUCCGCAAUGGGCGAAAGCCUGACGGAGCAACGCCGCGUGAGUGAUGAAGGUCUUCGGAUCGUAAAACUCUGUUAUUAGGGAAGAACAUAUGUGUAAGUAACUGUGCACAUCUUGACGGUACCUAAUCAGAAAGCCACGGCUAACUACGUG
RNAcentral lists this ribosomal RNA (497 nucleotides) under uncultured bacterium. Its description in RNAcentral is "partial 16S ribosomal RNA". It matches the Rfam family "Bacterial small subunit ribosomal RNA", at positions 28 to 507 of the family's 1533-position model. The record is from RNAcentral.